RNAcentral lists this ribosomal RNA (459 nucleotides) under Salmonella enterica. Its description in RNAcentral is "bacterial SSU rRNA". It matches the Rfam family "Bacterial small subunit ribosomal RNA", at positions 1 to 458 of the family's 1533-position model. Lineage: Bacteria; Pseudomonadati; Pseudomonadota; Gammaproteobacteria; Enterobacterales; Enterobacteriaceae. The record is from RNAcentral.
AAAUUGAAGAGUUUGAUCAUGGCUCAGAUUGAACGCUGGCGGCAGGCCUAACACAUGCAAGUCGAACGGUAGCACAGAGAGCUUGCUCUCAGGUGACGAGUGGCGGACGGGUGAGUAAUGUCUGGGAAACUGCCUGAUGGAGGGGGAUAACUACUGGAAACGGUGGCUAAUACCGCAUAACGUCGCAAGACCAAAGAGGGGGACCUUCGGGCCUCUUGCCAUCAGAUGUGCCCAGAUGGGAUUAGCUUGUUGGUGAGGUAACGGCUCACCAAGGCGACGAUCCCUAGCUGGUCUGAGAGGAUGACCAGCCACACUGGAACUGAGACACGGUCCAGACUCCUACGGGAGGCAGCAGUGGGGAAUAUUGCACAAUGGGCGCAAGCCUGAUGCAGCCAUGCCGCGUGUAUGAAGAAGGCCUUCGGGUUGUAAAGUACUUUCAGCGGGGAGGAAGGUGUUGUG